This 4134-nucleotide long non-coding RNA is filed under the name Aquilegia coerulea. Its description in RNAcentral is "long non-coding RNA (ACOE_LNC001425)". Lineage: Eukaryota; Viridiplantae; Streptophyta; Magnoliopsida; Ranunculales; Ranunculaceae. The record is from RNAcentral.
ACUUCACCCUACACUCUUGUUGGAUAUUCUCUAAAUCAGAUCAACAACGAUAGAAAUUUUGUCCAUCUUUCUCUUGUCAAUGGAUUUAAUUUAGGGAUGUAUAUAAUUCCAAUAUUAUCUGAAUCCGAUGAUUCAAGCCGAGAGAUCAGAUGCAGAGCUGAUAUCAAUACCAAUUGUCCAGACACCUUAAAGGUACCUGGUGGUUGUAAAGACCCUUGUGCAGCUUAUGAUGACUGUAGUGGACCUACUCCCGAAACAAACUUUUUCAAGCAAAGUUGCCCUGAUGCGUAUAGUUACCCUUCAGAACAAGAUCAUGCUAUAAAUUUUAGUUAUCCCAGAGCUACCAACUAUAGGAUUGUAUUUUGCCCAGGAGAGGCUAUUUUGAGACGCAAUGAUAAUCCCCCCUCCCCCCCCAAAGAGCGCAUCUAUUCCCCCCCUUCCCCCAACCUCCACCCCAGCCCCCACCCCUAAAGCACAUCUAGCAUAAUCUUCUUUGUAGCAAGAAUGUAGGAUCACUAUAAUUUCCUUUAUACAUAGUGUUUGCCACUAUGAACUCAACCUUUAUUUUCCUAUUUGCAAGGAUACCAUGUACACAUAUUCUAUUGCAAAAAAUAUUACUAUUACUAUUCUUUUGAUUAGGUACUUGAAAGUUGGAUUUUAUGGACAAAUCAAUUUUUUAGUGAGGUUGCCUUUAUGCAACUUAUUUGUGUGUUGUCUGCUAGAGUCCCUCAAGAAGUAUGCAACUAAUACAUCAAUGAAUCCAUCAAUCAUCAUAGAACCUACAUGACUGACUAGAACAAUUGAUAUACCUUAGUUUUGUUCUUUGGGAUAUUUAUUUGUUUAUUGUGUGUCUACGGGCAAUGUGAACGUGGCUACAAGACGCUGCAUGACUUCCUGUUAACAGGGGCCUCAAGAGGAACAAAAGCACUAGGAGAAUUCGAACUGGGAAAGAAUUAAGUGAAGGGAAAAUACUAAAAUAUCUAUGUACUUUUGCAUUUUUAAUGGGGUUUAAUGAUGCAUUCUUAAACUGUGGGAAAAACACAAAGCGACUUAUAUACUUCGAUCUGUUUUCAAAAGAAAUUCUCGUCAAAAGAGUUGCACUGUAGCAUCUUCAAACUCCUGUUAAUAGUAGGUGUUGGUCCGAAUCUCAGACUACACGAGAUGGAUAUCCCACUGAUGAUCCUAAGGCUGAGCUCUUCCCUGUUUCAUGUAUACAAACGAAACAAGACCGAAGGAGCGUCUGAUGUGAGCACUCUGACGGUCAAGUCAGUAUGUGUGGGAGGAGAUAGAACUUGACAAAGUAUGGUUUUGAGUGAGAAUAGAGUACCUUAAACCUUGGGGCUUCCCCUUUUUAUAGUGUUUGAACUGACCUCUUAUCUAGGCCGUCCGUCUGUUUAGCAAGAUCCCACGAUAGGGAUGUUUGUACGUGGGUGGCUGUGAGCCUUGUUUCCGCUUGACCGCCUUUGACUAGUCAUGGAAUGCGAUACAACUGUACUCCUCGUGCGUCUCGCGUGCCGGCUACCCGACAAGUUGAAAGCUUAUCCAGUAGUCCGCAGGUGACUUAAUGCAAGAUAAGUUCGAGUUGUGUGGUGUUGCCACAUAUGCACACCGAAAUAUGCUCCCACAAUAGGCUUAUUCACUGGGCAGAUAUGUUGGUUCAAUGGAACCGCACAUUAAAAAAUUUGAUUAGUGUCAUGGUUAAAAUAAGAAUCAAUAGGGAGCCGUUACUGGUACGGAUAAACAAAGUAAGUUCUGGUUUGGACUACCUACCCAAUGUAUAGUUGAACUCUAGCUAUACAUAAGUUCAUUUCUAAUGGCUCGAAGUUGUCUAGAAUAUGGCAAUUUAGCAUAGGUUCACGCCUUUACAAUGCAUUUUUGCUGAGGAAUGAAGUGCUGCUGUGUGCCCAUCUAUACUAAUAAUGUGACUUCAACAUUCUCUUGAUUCAUUCAAUAAGAAAUGCAUCUUGUAUAGAUGAAUAGCUGUCUUGAACAAUAUUAUCCCAUUUAUUUGAAAAACACCUUUAUCUAAUAUACUUUCUUGUCUUCGGUUUUUAUAGGGAAAUACAUUUUAUUCGCAUUUGUUAUUGAGAUACCCAUUUAUACGGAAGACAUUAGCAAUUCUGACAAGGUAUGUCGACCUCCCACCUGUUUUAAGCCAUGGUGGAGUUUUAGCUUUGAAUUUGGAUGGAGAACCAAUUGAUCUUUAUACCGAUCCUGGUUUGGGCAUGGUUUGAAGCGGGAUCAAGGUCAAGGAUCAUAUAUACUAUGGGUCACUAGCAACACGCUACAUUAGGCGUGCCAAUCUUAUGGAUUUAACCCCUGUAGCAUAACAUUCUUAUGUAAUAUUUCAGCAAGUCAUAUUUUUGUUAGUUACUGGCUCUUGUGUAACAAUGUGAGGACCGAUAAUAAAACGGAGGAACGAUGAUGAUUGUCGUAUUUAGUAUUUGACUUGCGUGACUAUGUUUGGACUGAUAGUAUAUAGUCUCACAUACAAUAGAAAAAAGUUCAUCAUCGCGCAUUCCGUAUAGUGACCCUUACUAGAUUUAAAACCCUUAAAGAUAAACCUUACACCUCGUGCCCAAAGAUAUUUGGGAUAUUGUUUACUAAUUACUACCCGUAGGGUCCUCAAGGCAUUUUACAGCAUAGACAAAAACUGAUACCAUGCAUGUUACGUGGUGUUGAAAGAAACACAGUGGAGCAGGCUAAGCAGUCUAUAGUCUAUACUACACCAGAACAGCACAACUAAUAAAGUGACACAUCCUCCCCCAGAUUCUGGGCUGGGGAUGAGGCUGUUUCACUAGUCGAAUAAGCUUUAAAGAUGUCAAACUGCUGAGCUGAACAUCAAAUCAUACAAUUCCAUAUUUUUCACAACCUAGUAAGAUGUAGAUUUUACCAUUUUCAAGAGUAGGUAGCUAGAUCAUCCAAAUAUUAAAAUAUAAUAUUGCCAGCUUUGUAGAAAUCUAGUACCAUUCACUAUGAGGCUAUACGCUGUAUAGGUUAUGCCAUUCUCUCUCACCGACUCCCCUCCCCUGUAUUGGUCCUUCAGAACACAAAUAUUCCAUUGAUAUAACUCAAGACUUUGUGCCACCUUAUUUGACACUAGGAGAGAUGGACAACCUUGGACCUUGUAUUUCAUGCAUUACUCGAUCUCUAGAGCAUGCAGCACUGCAGCAGGGUGGAGUGACUUCUGACUUGUAAAACUUCUCCCCAGCAGGGUCAAUGGGAGACUCAAUAUAAUGGGUGAAGUCGUGAAGACAAUAGUGCUAAAUUAAAGUGAGAAUAGUCAAAAGAAUGAGUCAAUGAGAUGAAAGAUCUGGUUAUAUCUGCGGUCUAUAAUCGAGAAGAACUACACGUCAGGGCCCAACUGCUUGUCUACGUUAUAAGAAAAUAAAUAGGCCUUUAUUGUUGUUUGCCUUUACAUGUUUGGCAGCUUGCUGAUGUGCAGUAUUAGAAAGUAAAUUGACGAGUGGGGGCUAUAUGGCUGAUCUAUAUCUAUAUUUUCCACCAUCAGGAUUACAUACAAAAACAAAUAAUAUCAAGAUGAGAUUCUUCUUCUCCAUUGCCAUUUUCUUUUACUUCUUCUUGUUUCCAAUUAUCUUCACCACCAUAACUCAUGGAACCAUCUUUGAAAUCCACAACAACUGCAGUGACACAGUCUGGGCUGCAGCUAUACCAGGUGGGGGCCGACAACUUAACACAAGCCAAUCAUGGAUCAUGAAUUUGAAACACAACAUACCUCAACAAGGCCAAAUUUGGGCUCGUACCAACUGCAGUUUCAGCAAAAGUGGUCAUGGAACUUGUGACUCAGGAGAUUGCAAUGGCCAACUGCAAUGCAAAUCAAAUGGUACUUCACCCUACACUCUUGUUGGAUAUUCUCUAAAUCAGAUCAACAACGAUAGAAAUUUUGUCCAUCUUUCUCUUGUCAAUGGAUUUAAUUUAGGGAUGGAUAUAAUUCCAAUAUUAUCUGAAUCCGAUGAUUCAAGCCGAGAGAUCAGAUGCAGAGCUGAUAUCAAUACCAAUUGUCCAGAUGACUUAAAGGUAUCUGGUGGUUGUAAAGACCCUUGUGCAGCUUAUGAUGUCUGUAGUGGACCUACUCCUGAAACAAACUUUUUCAAGCAAAGUUGCCCUGAUGCG